GCUAGGGUGGCAGAGCCUGGUAAUUGCAAAAGAUCUAAGCCCUUUUAACAGAGGUUCAAAUCCUCUCCCUAGCU
This 74-nucleotide transfer RNA is filed under the name Rasbora laticlavia. RNAcentral's name for it is "tRNA-Leu". It matches the Rfam family "tRNA". Rfam says of the family: Transfer RNA (tRNA) molecules are approximately 80 nucleotides in length. The record is from RNAcentral. Lineage: Eukaryota; Metazoa; Chordata; Actinopteri; Cypriniformes; Danionidae.